GUUUCCAUAGUGUAGUGGUUAUCACGUUCGCCUCACACGCGAAAGGUCCUCAGUUUGAAACUGGGUGGAAACA
RNAcentral lists this transfer RNA (73 nucleotides) under Alosa alosa (allis shad). RNAcentral describes it as "tRNA-Val". It matches the Rfam family "tRNA". From Rfam's summary of the family: Transfer RNA (tRNA) molecules are approximately 80 nucleotides in length. Their secondary structure includes four short double-helical elements and three loops (D, anti-codon, and T loops). The record is from RNAcentral. Lineage: Eukaryota; Metazoa; Chordata; Actinopteri; Clupeiformes; Clupeidae.